This 500-nucleotide ribosomal RNA is filed under the name uncultured bacterium. Its description in RNAcentral is "partial 16S ribosomal RNA". It matches the Rfam family "Bacterial small subunit ribosomal RNA", at positions 29 to 523 of the family's 1533-position model. The record is from RNAcentral.
AUUGAACGCUGGCGGAAUGCUUUACACAUGCAAGUCGAACGGCAGCACGGACUUCGGUCUGGUGGCGAGUGGCGAACGGGUGAGUAAUACAUCGGAACGUGCCCAGUCGUGGGGGAUAACGUAGCGAAAGCUACGCUAAUACCGCAUACGAGCUACGGAUGAAAGCGGGGGAUCGCGAGACCUCGCGCGAUUGGAGCGGCCGAUGGCAGAUUAGGUAGUUGGUGGGGUAAAGGCUAACCAAGCCGACGAUCUGUAGCUGGUCUGAGAGGGCGGCCAGCCACACUGGGAGAGAGACACGGCCCCGACUCCUACGGGAGGCAGCAGUGGGGAAUUGUGGACAAUGGGCGCAAGCCUGAUCCAGCCAUUCCGCGUGCAGGAUGAAGGCCCUCGGGUUGUAAACUGCUUUUGUACGGAACGAAAAGGCUCUGGUUAAUACCCGGGGCUAAUGACGGUACCGUAAGAAUAAGCACCGGCUAACUACGUGCCAGCCGCCGCGGUAA